AUUGAACGCUGGCGGCAUGCCUUACACAUGCAAGUCGAACGGCAGCACGGGAGCAAUCCUGGUGGCGAGUGGCGAACGGGUGAGUAAUAUAUCGGAACGUGCCCAGUCGUGGGGGAUAACGUAGCGAAAGCUACGCUAAUACCGCAUGCGAUCUGUGGAUGAAAGCGGGGGAUCGCAAGACCUCGCGCGAUUGGAGCGGCCGAUAUCAGAUUAGGUAGUUGGUGAGGUAAAGGCUCACCAAGCCGACGAUCUGUAGCUGGUCUGAGAGGACGACCAGCCACACUGGGACUGAGACACGGCCCAAACUCCUACGGGAGGCAGCAGUGGGGAAUUUUGGACAAUGGGCGCAAGCCUGAUCCAGCAAUGCCGCGUGCAGGAUGAAGGCCUUCGGGUUGUAAACUGCUUUCGUACGGAACGAAACGGCGAGCUCUAAUACAGUUUGCUAAUGACGGUACCGUAAGAAUAAGCACCGGCCAACUACGUGCCAGCAGCCGCAGUAA
Molecule: ribosomal RNA, 500 nt
Filed under: uncultured bacterium
Lineage: Bacteria
Description: partial 16S ribosomal RNA
Rfam family: Bacterial small subunit ribosomal RNA
Source: RNAcentral